CCUACGGGAGGCAGCAGUGAGGAAUAUUUGUCAAUGGACGCAAGUCUGAACCAGCCAUGCCGCGUGCAGGAAGACGGCUCUAUGAGGUGUAAACUGCUUUUGUACGAGGGUAAACGCAGAUACGCGGAUCUUUCUGAAAGUAUCUUACGAAUAAGGAUCGGCUAACUCCGUGCCAGCAGCCGCGGUAAUACGGAGGAUUCAAGCGUUAUCCGGAUUUAUUGGGUUUAAAGGGUGCGUAGGCGGUCGGAUAAGUUAGAGGUGAAAUCCCGAGGCUCAACUUCGGAAUUGCCUCUGAUACUGUUCGGCUAGAGAGUAGUUGAGGUAGGCGGAAUGUAUGGUGUAGCGGUGAAAUGCUUAGAGAUCAUACAGAACACCGAUUGCGAAGGCAGCUUACCAAGCUACUUCUGACGUUGAGGCACGAAAGCGUGGGGAGCAAACAGGAUUAGAUACCCUGGUAGUC
Molecule: ribosomal RNA, 460 nt
Filed under: uncultured bacterium
Lineage: Bacteria
Description: partial 16S ribosomal RNA
Rfam family: Bacterial small subunit ribosomal RNA
Source: RNAcentral